This 291-nucleotide ribosomal RNA is filed under the name Triticum aestivum (bread wheat). Its description in RNAcentral is "partial small subunit ribosomal RNA". The record is from RNAcentral. Lineage: Eukaryota; Viridiplantae; Streptophyta; Magnoliopsida; Poales; Poaceae.
AUGACAGACAUAAUUGUUGAAACAGACUGCCAGUCUCUGGUGCGUGCAGUACAGGGAACUGAAUUUGAUCUAGCACCUGAAGGAGUUAUCUUUAAGGACCUGCGUCUUUUUGCUCUUCUGCACUUUAAUUCUGUUAGCUUUUCUUUUACCCCAAGGGGCUGUAAUAUUUUGGCCCAUGUACUUGCUGCCAUGGGUGCUCGUGGACAAUCUCCAAAACAGCUGUGGUCUGAGGAGUUGCCGGACGAUGUAAAAGUUAGGACGGCCAGCGUUUCUGCUGAGCCAGUGGGUUAA